This 640-nucleotide ribosomal RNA is filed under the name uncultured bacterium. Its description in RNAcentral is "bacterial SSU rRNA". It matches the Rfam family "Bacterial small subunit ribosomal RNA", at positions 64 to 692 of the family's 1533-position model. The record is from RNAcentral.
GAACGGCAGCACAGCAGAGCUUGCUCUGUGGGUGGCGAGUGGCGGACGGGUGAGUAAUGCAUCGGGACCUACCCAACUGUGGGGGAUAACGUAGGGAAACUUACGCUAAUACCGCAUACGUCCUACGGGAGAAAGCGGGGGACCUUCGGGCCUCGCGCGGUUGGAUGGACCGAUGUGCGAUUAGCUUGUUGGUGAGGUAACGGCUCACCAAGGCGACGAUCGCUAGCUGGUCUGAGAGGAUGAUCAGCCACACUGGGACUGAGACACGGCCCAGACUCCUACGGGAGGCAGCAGUGGGGAAUAUUGGGACAAUGGGCGCAAGCCUGAUCCAGCAAUGCCGCGUGUGUGAAGAAGGCCUUCGGGUUGUAAAGCACUUUUAUCAGGAGCGAAAUCUGCAGGGCUAAUACCCAUGCAGUCUGACGGUACCUGAGGAAUAAGCACCGGCUAACUCCGUGCCAGCAGCCGCGGUAAUACGGAGGGUGCAAGCGUUCAUCGGAAUUACUGGGCGUAAAGCGUGCGUAGGCGGUUCGUUAAGUCUGUUGUGAAAGCCCCGGGCUCAACCUGGGAAUGGCAAUGGAUACUGGCGAGCUAAGUGUGUCAGAGGAUUGGUGGAAUUCCCGGUGUAGCGGUGAAAUGCGUA